Small nucleolar RNA from Hemibagrus wyckioides, 73 nucleotides. RefSeq annotates it as small nucleolar RNA SNORD2. The record is from RefSeq and is a predicted model, not a curated record. Lineage: Eukaryota; Metazoa; Chordata; Actinopteri; Siluriformes; Bagridae. The transcript has a single exon.
GUAUGAAAUGAUGGUAUACCAUCUUUCGGGACUGACGUGUCAUGGAGAUGCUUUUGAACUUCACUGAUCAUAU